AAGUCUGAUGUGAUCCUUCGGCUCACCGCAGAAGUGCAUUGGAAACUGGGAGACUUGAGUGCAGAAGAGGACAGUGGAACUCCAUGUGUAGCGGUGAAAUGCGUAGAUAUAUGGAAGAACACCAGUGGCGAAGGCGGCUGUCUGGUCUGCAACUGACGCUGAGGCUCGAAAGCAUGGGUAGCGAACAGGAUUAGAUACCCUGGUAGUCCAUGCCGUAAACGAUGAUUACUAAGUGUUGGAGGGUUUCCGCCCUUCAGUGCUGCAGCUAACGCAUUAAGUAAUCCGCCUGGGGAGUACGACCGCAAGGUUGAAACUCAAAAGAAUUGACGGGGGCCCGCACAAGCGGUGGAGCAUGUGGUUUAAUUCGA
This 368-nucleotide ribosomal RNA is filed under the name uncultured bacterium. RNAcentral's name for it is "bacterial SSU rRNA". It matches the Rfam family "Bacterial small subunit ribosomal RNA", at positions 585 to 954 of the family's 1533-position model. The record is from RNAcentral.